This 2252-nucleotide non-coding RNA is filed under the name Betula luminifera. The record is from RNAcentral. Lineage: Eukaryota; Viridiplantae; Streptophyta; Magnoliopsida; Fagales; Betulaceae.
GUAAUUAAAAGCUGACAAACGUUCUCUUUAAGUUUUAGGAGAUAAGUAAGAGCAAUUACCUAUGAAAAUUGGGGAUAAAAUUUUUCAUGAGCUAAAAUUUUCGUUACUUUUGUUCACAAAUCAAGUAGAUAAAUAUUAAACGUUCGAUGAAAUUCAGUACUAUUAUAUCCCUUACAUAAGAAGAUGAUAUUUGAUUCUAUUUGGGAAGAAUUUAUAAAGCGAUAUUUGAUAAGCGAGUUUCUAAAAAUAUGAGUGUUAAAUUUAGAAACUCAUUGAAGAAUUGUUUACAUACUCAAGCUAGCUAAGUGCACACUCAUUCUAGAAUCUCAAGAUUGCAUGGCUAAUUCUUGAUAUUUGUGAGACAACGAAGAAAAAGAGAGUAGAAGGUAUUAUUUGAUUUUUUUUUAAAAAAAAAAAUGAGCAAAUUAACAAUUACAAAAAACAAAAACAAAAAAAAAGAACAAAACAAAAAAAAAAAAGAAAAAGAAAAGAAAGAAAAGAGACUACAAAAAGAGAGGCAGAGUACUCCCAACAAACAUUUAAAAAACAAUUAUUACAGUGCAAGAAAAUAAAACUACAAAUAAAACGAGAAGUUAUUCUAAACAGAUCUGGCCUCAUAGUUUCUUAACCAAAAGAUAAUUGUCUUGACGAUAAUAUAUAAUGCAUACCUAAUAUUGGAUUGCUGGACAAAGAGUGUAGUGAGGAUGAUUGUGAUGAGGCGUCAAUGAAGUUCAUCUAACCCUAUAUAUAGAUUAGAUGGGGUGAAAGAUAAUCUAUAAGAAAUGCUCUAAUAAAGAAAAAGAGAUUCUUCUCUUUUCCCACCUUCUCUUAAGUCACCCAGAUAUGAAAUAAUGAAAUUUAAUUAUAAUACACGAUGUAGUAAAGUAAAAUUAUACUAUGACCUAAAAAAUUUUGUGGUAAUUAAUUAAAAUUUAGCAAGAAACCACAACCACGAGCAGAAUGGUUUUCAUGAAAAAGUGGUAAAGCAGUAUAUGCAUGUGCACAGAUACAUAUAUAAAUACUCAAAGAGAAAGCCAUAAGAAUGAUGUUCUCACCAGCAGAAGAUUAAUCUAUUGACAGAAGAAAAGAGAGCACAAAACAAGAUCAUACACAAGCCUUCCUGUGUAUGCUCAAUUGUGCUCUCUAUCUUCUGUCAACAAAAAUAUAUAUCAGCAUCAUGGAUCAUGAAUGAAAGCCAACCCUUGAUCAGCAGAAGAGUCACCAAUUAAACCUUGUUUGUGAACCGCGAACAGGGAAAAGAAAAGAAAUUUCAUCUGCAUCAACAGCAGCCAUGCAAAUCGAGAGUGAUUGGAGGGAAUCAAAGAUAGAGAGAAGUAGUAGUACUAAGACUCCUCUUGUUUGUCAGCCCAGAAAGAAAGUUGAGCCUUUUCUUGACUUUGAAGAACAUGGAAUUAAGUGAGAGGCUGCCUUCUCUUGCAGUUGCAGAUAAGAGAGGGAAAAGGUCUUUCUGAAUAGCAAGUGUCUCAUUAAGUAUGGCUUUGAUAUCACCAUCACUUUGAUCAAUUAAUAAAAACUAACCACCUUUCUUCUUUAUCUUUCAUCUUUCAUUUUCGUUGGAGAUGACUUUUAGAAAGGUGGUGACCAACAUGCUUUUUCUGGAUUGUCUUUGGGCUACAAAGCCCAAAUCAAGGCUGCUUACCAGGGAUUUUGGAAACUCCAUAUAGGCCAAGAGAGCCACGACACCCCUUUGUUUUCAAUUUUUCUUUUAACAAGUUUUUUUAUAUAUAUAUAUAUAUAUAUAUAUGGUAGAGAGCCUGUUGUAGCCCACAACUGUCCCUACAAGAUUAGGCAUGGGCAUGUGCUAUGUUGAGUAAGUCUCACCAAAAUUUCAUUCAAAUUAGGUUAGAAGAAUUUUUUCAAAUUUAGCUUAUAAUAAUGUGACGUGUAUUUUGAGUAUGUGAAAAAAUAUAUAUUUUUUUAAUAUUUUUAUUUAAAAUGCUAGUGUUUCUCACGUAGUUAAAAGAAAAAAAAAAGAAGAUGAUUGUCAUAAAAGAUAAAUGUCAAAUUUAUGAAGAUAAAUGACAAAUUUCUGAAUAAAGUUAAAAAAAAAUUCCUCAAUCGUGGAAAUUUCUGUCCGACAAGGACAAAAAUUUGUGUCUGACAAUUAAUAUCCUUGGAUCUGGAACUUUCGAAAGACAAAAACGAAACUGCGUACAUAUAGACAACAACUUUGCAUAAGAUAAGAAUAUAAAACUUUCAUAGCUUUUAACUUAAUUCCUCUUCCAGUAAUG